Molecule: ribosomal RNA, 497 nt
Filed under: uncultured bacterium
Lineage: Bacteria
Description: partial 16S ribosomal RNA
Rfam family: Bacterial small subunit ribosomal RNA
Source: RNAcentral
GAUGAACGCUGGCGGCGUGCCUAAUACAUGCAAGUCGAGCGAACGGACGCGAAGCUUGCUUCUCUGAUGUUAGCGGCGGACGGGUGUGUAACACGUGUAUAACCCACCUAUAAGACUGGGAUCACUUCGGGAAACCGGCGCUAAUACCGGAUAAUCUUUUGAACCGCAUGGUUCAAAAGUAAAAGUCGGUCUUUCUGUCACUUAUCGAUGGAUCCGGGCUGCUUUAGCUAGUUGGUAAGGUAACGGCUUACCAAGGGAACUAUGCAUAGCCGACCUGAGUGGCGGGUCGGCCACAUGAGAGCGUAGACGCGGACCAUACGACUAAGGGACGCAGCAGUAGGGUACGUUACGCAAUGGGCGAAAGCCUGACAGAGCGACGCCGAGUGAGAGGUGAAGACGUUCGGAUCGUAAUACUGGGUUAUUGGGGAAAAACAGAUGUGGAAGUAAAUGUGGACAGCGUGACGGUACCGAAUCAGAAAGCCACGGCUAACUACGUG